GGCAGUUCUCGGGUGAUGUACCCCGGAAUCAGGCUCCUUCCUUUCUGGUUCUGGGUGCAUCACCCAAGAACCACA
Myotis brandtii (Brandt's bat) is the source of this 75-nucleotide non-coding RNA. The record is from Rfam. Lineage: Eukaryota; Metazoa; Chordata; Mammalia; Chiroptera; Vespertilionidae.